This is a microRNA precursor of Rhinopithecus bieti (black snub-nosed monkey), 77 nucleotides long. The record is from Ensembl. Lineage: Eukaryota; Metazoa; Chordata; Mammalia; Primates; Cercopithecidae.
GGCAGUGCUCUCUUCAGAAAGGUGCCAGUCACUUAGAUUGCAUGUCACUGUUUCCUUUCUGAGUGGAGUAAGGCUUA